Molecule: ribosomal RNA, 600 nt
Filed under: uncultured bacterium
Lineage: Bacteria
Description: bacterial SSU rRNA
Rfam family: Bacterial small subunit ribosomal RNA
Source: RNAcentral
UGCUCCACCGAAAGAAAAGGAGUGGCAAACGGUGAGUACACGUGGGUAACCUGCCCAUCAGAAGGGGAUAACACUUGGAAACAGGUGCUAAUACCGUAUAACAAUCGAAACCGCAUGGUUUUGAUUUGAAAGGCGCUUUCGGGUGUCGCUGAUGGAUGGACCCGCGGUGCAUUAGCUAGUUGGUGAGGUAACGGCUCACCUAGGCGACGAUCCCUAGCUGGUCUGAGAGGAUGACCAGCCACACUGGAACUGAGACACGGUCCAGACUCCUACGGGAGGCAGCAGUGGGGAAUAUUGCACAAUGGGCGCAAGCCUGAUGCAGCCAUGCCGCGUGUAUGAAGAAGGCCUUCGGGUUGUAAAGUACUUUCAGCGGGGAGGAAGGUGUUGUGGUUAAUAACCACAGCAAUUGACGUUACCCGCAGAAGAAGCACCGGCUAACUCCGUGCCAGCAGCCGCGGUAAUACGGAGGGUGCAAGCGUUAAUCGGAAUUACUGGGCGUAAAGCGCACGCAGGCGGUCUGUCAAGUCGGAUGUGAAAUCCCCGGGCUCAACCUGGGAACUGGAUUCGAAACUGGCAGGCUAAGUCUUGUACAGGGGGGUA